AUGUAUAUAUAGAUGUAUUAUUAGAUCACAAAUAGUAAUAAAUCUCAUCGAACUUCAUGACUUCAUUUUUAAUAUUAUUUAUUAUGACUUGUUUAUAUUCUAUAUACCUAUACUGGCUACUUCGUAGGCAUUGGUGUACUUACUAUAUAUGUACUAAGUAUCUUUAUAUUAUGCAAAUAAAAUGUAUAAAGUAUCCACCGUCAACAAUGUACAUUUUUACCCGACCAUACAAAGUGACCGUUUACAAAUUAUAACAUAUGGUAGCUUAUGGCUGUAUAUUCGAAUGAUUAUCAGGUGCUCUUAGAUUAUUAGGAAUAGGUACCUACUAUAUCUAUGCAGUUGUUUUCUAAUAACGUCAUUUAAACAAAAUACAGGCCUGCUAUAGUACUAUACAGACAUUUCAUAUUUGAUUCGUCGAUUAUUUUCAUUUCGUAUCGGAGAUUAUCAGUUAUUAUUCUAUGCGUUGCGUGUUUCUAAACCUGUUGUUUCAAAUCGUGUCUACCUUCAUCUUCGAAAAUGGUUUUAGACUUUUACUUUUUAGAAAAGUGAGAGAUGGUACCUAUUGGCGUUAUUUAUUUCCUGAGUUUACUAAGUAAUUAAUAAUUGUCUAAAACGUUAUUACCGCUUACGCAGCCCCGGGUGGCAAAUGUUUUCGACGAUGCGAUAACAUCUAUUUAAUAGCGGCCAGAGAUGUUUAACAAUUUAAUCCGGCCCCGCGUUGUAGCACACUCGAGAAUCGUGAAUGAAGUCCAGGAUGGAACUUGUGUUAAUUUAAGACAUUUUUAGAUUUUCUCAACGGUUUCUUUAAAAGCACACAGAAAAUUGACUGAUAACUAGGUAUCGAAAACUACAUCGAAGAAAUGUCGCCACCGUGAUGGUUUAUACGAUUGUGCAUUUGUGCAUACUAUUUUACCCGUACAAAUAUACAUUACUAUAUUUUAUUAUACUUUACGGUACAUUAUAGUGUAGGUACCUUUAUGAAAAACCUAUGGUGAUCAUACCAUGGUUACAUAGGCGUAGCGUGAUGAAUUUAUAUAGAGGCGCUAUAGGUAGUAGGUAUAUUAUAUUUUUGGUACACAACAUAAUAUACUUUAAAAGUGUAACUAAAAAAAUUACAGAAUGGGGAGGGCUAAACAAAAUUUUAGGGGGGAUAUAUCCCCCUUAGCCCCCCCCCCAUUCUAUACGCCUAUGUAUAGUUUUCUUGAAGAUUAUCAUUUAUCUUUAUCUUAUAUCGCAUACGGCAAACGUGCUAUGCGUUAUCGUCAUUAAUAAUAAUAUGUUAUAAUUACAAUUUAAGAUAUCUUACCUAUAUCAUAGUUAUGAUGUAUGAUAUUGUUUGAUAAAUAGUCGAAGGUUAGAUAACUGAAUAAUACAUAAAUUAAAAUAACAAACAUAUUUGAGGUUAAACACUAUUCAAAACAUCUUACUUUAUCUAAUAUAGGUAGGGGAAAUCUAGGGCCUAAAAUUGUGUGCAAUAGCACACACUAUGUACAGUAGCUAUAAUAUUAAAUGUGCAGUAGCAAAUUUAAAAGUGUGCAGUUCUUAUUUUCGGCUUUUAUACAUUUUUAUUAUUUGAUUAAUAUUCAAUAUUGGUGAUUGAAAAUUACGAAUUAGCAUAUUGUAUUUAUUUAAUAUCCUUAACAUUAAAAAUAAUACCGACUACACCAUAUUCAGGACGGCUUAAAAUUUAAUAGAAAAGGAAUGACCAAUGAAAAUAAAGUGAGCACCCACUAGAAAAAUUGUCCAGAUGCAACACUGUAUAUUAUACCUAUUAUUAUGUCUUGUACUCUCGUGGGAAUCGUGGGUGACAGUGAGAAACUCAGAAAGUUUGUAUAUAUAUCUAACACGCUGAUGGUAUCUAUAUAACAAUAUAUAUCCUGUACGGUUUUGUUUGUUUUUUAAUGCGGAGUUGAUGGUAUAGCUGCAGGUUGUAGCUAAGCAGGUCACGAUGAUUAUGCAUAAUAUAAUUCAAACAUUAUUAUAUCUUUCUCUCACACUUUUAUUAUCAUCGAAACAACAAUUAUCAUCGUCAUAACCAAUAAUAUUAUUAUAUACAUUAUACAUAUUAUAUAAAAAAAAAAAAAAAUGUUUUUAUGAUAACAAUUCUAAAC
Long non-coding RNA from Acyrthosiphon pisum (pea aphid), 2111 nucleotides. RefSeq lists it as uncharacterized. The record is from RefSeq and is a predicted model, not a curated record. NCBI's taxonomy places the organism in Eukaryota, Metazoa, Arthropoda, Insecta, Hemiptera, Aphididae. The transcript is spliced from 2 exons.